UUUUUUUUUUUUUUAAGAGAAAAAAUAAAACAUAAGGGAAUCUAAUCCUUGAACUGAGCUUGCUUAAUUUGCUAUUACUUCGAUUUUUUCAAUAAACUCAUGAAGCCCGAGAAACCAUUACAGGAGAUUCGAUUGCAACAAACAGAUCGAAUAAAAAAAAAUGUUAAAAAAGCAUAUGGACGAAAUAAUAUUGCAUUUAGUAAACACUUAAAUUGGGUUUUAUAUUUUGGAUCUUGAAACCCUUCUGA
This 248-nucleotide unclassified non-coding RNA is filed under the name Hevea brasiliensis (rubber tree). Lineage: Eukaryota; Viridiplantae; Streptophyta; Magnoliopsida; Malpighiales; Euphorbiaceae. The record is from RNAcentral.